RNAcentral lists this ribosomal RNA (309 nucleotides) under uncultured bacterium. RNAcentral describes it as "bacterial SSU rRNA". It matches the Rfam family "Bacterial small subunit ribosomal RNA", at positions 9 to 320 of the family's 1533-position model. The record is from RNAcentral.
GAGUUUGAUCAUGGCUCAGAUUGAACGCUGGCGGAAUGCUUUACACAUGCAAGUCGAACGGCAGCACGGACUUCGGUCUGGUGGCGAGUGGCGAACGGGUGAGUAACAUAUCGGAACGUAUCCAAUAAUGGGGGAUAACUAAUCGAAAGGUUGGCUAAUACCGCAUACGCCCUACGGGGGAAAGCUAGGGACCUUCGGGCCUGGCGUUAAUGGAGCGGCCGAUAUCUGAUUAGCUAGUUGGUGGGGUAAAGGCCCACCAAGGCGACGAUCAGUAGCUGGUCUGAGAGGACGACCAGCCACACUGGAACU